CCGGGAUAAAAUAUUCCGGCAAAAAAUUAUUUUGUUUGGCGGAAUAGCGGGGAUAACUUUCGUUAUUUAUACCGCCAACCAAACGGUGCCUUAAAGUUUAAUAAGACAACAUAUUUUAUAUACGAGAUAAUUUAUCUUAUUAUAUAUGAAAUGCUAACUCAAAAGUCCAUAUAGUAUCAUUCGAAACAUUUGAUUUUACUUUUCAUUUAUCAAAUACUGCAUGCUAUUUUUUUAGUAAUUCAAAAUACAAAAUUUAAGUCACAUUAUAGAUAAAAUAUGUUAUUUG
RNAcentral lists this long non-coding RNA (286 nucleotides) under Ananas comosus (pineapple). RNAcentral describes it as "long non-coding RNA (ACOM_LNC007627)". The record is from RNAcentral. Lineage: Eukaryota; Viridiplantae; Streptophyta; Magnoliopsida; Poales; Bromeliaceae.